This 494-nucleotide ribosomal RNA is filed under the name uncultured bacterium. Its description in RNAcentral is "partial 16S ribosomal RNA". It matches the Rfam family "Bacterial small subunit ribosomal RNA", at positions 28 to 507 of the family's 1533-position model. The record is from RNAcentral.
GACGAACGCUGGCGGCGUGCUUAACACAUGCAAGUCGAACGGUGAAGCGCCUUCCUUUUUGGUGGGUGUGGAUGAGUGGCGAACGGGUGAGUAACACGUGAGUAACCUGCCCCCUUCUUCUGGAUAACCGCAUGAAAGUGUGGCUAAUACGGGAUAUUCUGGGUCUGUCGCAUGAUGGGUCUGGGAAAGAUAUUGUUUCGGUGGGUGAUGGGCUCGCGGCCUAUCAGCUUGUUGGUGGGGUGAUGGCCUACCAAGGCGGUGACGGGUAGCCGGCCUGAGAGGGCGGACGGUCACACUGGGACUGAGACACGGCGCAGACUACUACGGGAGGCAGCAGUGGGGAAUAUUGAACAAUGGGCGCAAGGCUGAUGCAGCGACGCCGCGUGAGGGAUGGAGGCCGUCGGGUUGUGAACCUCUUUCGCCAGUGAAGCAGGCCUGCCUAGUUUGUGGGUGGGUUGACGGUAGCUGGAUAAGAAGCGCCGGCUAACUACGUG